Long non-coding RNA from Austrofundulus limnaeus, 825 nucleotides. RefSeq lists it as uncharacterized. Lineage: Eukaryota; Metazoa; Chordata; Actinopteri; Cyprinodontiformes; Rivulidae. The transcript has 3 exons. The record is from RefSeq and is a predicted model, not a curated record.
AUGGAACAUUCCCCACAGCUCUGUCACCUGAACAUUCCUCCUGAAAAAUCUGUGAGUCAGUUGGACAAACUUCACUUCAGUCCUGCCGGCAAUAUAGCACCCUUUAAUUACACUGGCCUCUAUACACUCUACUACCCUGUGUAUAACCUGCAGGCCAGUUCAUGAGGCAGUGCUGCAGCCAGCAAUGUCAUAAAGUCUAAAUUUUGUUUUUGCUGUUACUCUCAAGCUAGAUAUAAAUUAAUUCAGGACCACUUAUGACCAUAAUAUUGUGUGGCUUCACAUAAUUCCAGUAAUACAGAAAUAACGUUUUGUAGCAUUUUGUUGUCAAUGUUAUAGUUUUAGGUCAAGUUUUAGUUUUGUUUUUGUUUUUGUCUCAUGUCGUGUUUUUAGCAGCUCUUUUCCUCAGCCUUGUCACAGACCUGCUCCCCCUCCCUUCACAGAUCCUCAGGUAAUCAGCUCAUGCAACUCACCUGUGUCCCUCUGUAUUUAAGCCAGCAGUUUCCCUCAGCACUCUGCCAGUUUAUCAUCAGCCAGUCUAUGAUUCACAAGCAUUCUUGUCCCACCCAUGUCCUGUUCUGAUCUCGGCUCCUUGACCCCCUUCUCGUCUCUUGGAUUACCACCUCUUGCCUCAGCAGCCCGUGUCGGAUACCUUCUGCCAUCUGCUCUUCUGGAUUGUUUGUGACGUCAUCGUGUUGCUCCGGAACCAAACUGACACAGUCUGCGUUUCCACACGGAGGCUCCCAGUUGACACCAGAAAACCGGACCCACGCACCUGGGUUGUUCCAGCUCCACACCAGCAAUUUUAAUAAAAUUUGUAAACCUUUA